RNAcentral lists this ribosomal RNA (253 nucleotides) under uncultured bacterium. Its description in RNAcentral is "partial 16S ribosomal RNA". It matches the Rfam family "Bacterial small subunit ribosomal RNA", at positions 524 to 776 of the family's 1533-position model. The record is from RNAcentral.
UACGAAGGGGGCUAGCGUUGCUCGGAAUCAUUGGGCGUAAAGGGUGCGUAGGCGGCGGGGCAAGUCUGAUGUGAAAUCCCGGGGCUCAACCCCGGAACUGCAUUGGAUACUGCCUUGCUUGAGUACUGGAGAGGAGACUGGAAUUUACGGUGUAGCAGUGAAAUGCGUAGAUAUCGUAAGGAAGGCCAGUGGCGAAGGCGAGUCUCUGGACAGUUACUGACGCUGAGGCACGAAGGCCAGGGGAGCAAACGGG